GUCUACAGCCAUACCACCCUGAACGCGCCCGAUCUUAUCUGAUCUUGGAAGCUAAGCAAGGUCAGGCCUGGUUAGUACUUAGAUGGGAGAAUGAUGUGAAUUAUUAAAAAAAAUGUGGGAA
RNAcentral lists this ribosomal RNA (121 nucleotides) under Camelus bactrianus (Bactrian camel). RNAcentral also lists the same sequence under 1 other name. The record is from RNAcentral. Lineage: Eukaryota; Metazoa; Chordata; Mammalia; Artiodactyla; Camelidae.